RNAcentral lists this long non-coding RNA (737 nucleotides) under Coturnix japonica (Japanese quail). Its description in RNAcentral is "lncRNA (ENSCJPG00005020955.1)". The record is from RNAcentral. Lineage: Eukaryota; Metazoa; Chordata; Aves; Galliformes; Phasianidae.
UGAUAACCCAGCUCUUAGUGAGGAAAGUGGAAUUGUCAGAGAAGGUUACCCUGGCAACAGGGUCACCUGGCAGGUCCUGCGAUGAGGAGCCAGGCUGGGGCAGCGGGUGGCGUGAGCACAGUGAUGAUGAGGAAGGUGCAGGAGGUCAGUGAGUCCCUCAAGCUUCUCUGUGGCUUCCGUCAGCUCAAGACUAGCUGGACCUGGUUCAAACACUCGUGCUAUUUUGACGAUAUUUAUGGAUCAGAAGAAUAUGAUUUCCAUGGCAACUGCUCCAGGUUUUGAGCAAAUAUCAGCUUUGAAGGCAGCUAAUAAGAAAGGCACUUACAGAAACUGAAGUCACAUUCACACAGCCCUUCUAUACUAAGUACGUGCUACUGCAGAUGAAUGCUUCUAACAGUCACUUUGGUGAGUAUAAAAAGGGAUGUAGAUUUCUAGUUUGUUUUUAGUUUUCUUCAUCUUUAGAUUUGGAAGUCUAUUAAAAAAAAAAAAAAACAGGUAAUAUUUUGAAGCUCAUUUAAUCUAGGAAAAGUUACCUGGUCCAAUCCAUUUGCCCCUGGAAGCCAUGAUUCUGUGGUUAAUACUGAGUACUACAGAGAUUUUGUGAUUAAGAUAAAGGAAAAGGGCAAGAAAACUUAAUAUUUCUUGUACAUUGCAAACAUCUCAAAUAUCCUAAAUCCACUGGUUGUCCUCUCUGAGUUAAGCUGGUAGCUCUUCAGACUGGAUAUCUUAGGUUUGUC